GAGCACGUAGGUGGGUUUGUAAGUCAGAUGUGAAAGCUUUCUGUUCAACGGAAGAAUUGCAUCUGAAACUGCGAGUCUUGAGUGUAGGAGGGGAGAAUGGAGCUUCUGGUGGAGCGGUGAAAUGCGUAGAUAUCAGAAGGAACGCCGGCGGCGAAAGCGAUUCUCUGGCCUAUUACUGACACUCAGUGUGCGAAAGCUAGGGGAGCAAACGGGAUUAGAUACCCCGGUAGUCCUAGCCGUAAACGAUGGGCACUAAGUAGAGGGGUUUUA
Molecule: ribosomal RNA, 270 nt
Filed under: uncultured anaerobic ammonium-oxidizing bacterium
Lineage: Bacteria
Description: partial 16S ribosomal RNA
Rfam family: Bacterial small subunit ribosomal RNA
Source: RNAcentral